UCACAACCAUUCACCUCCCUUGAUCCAACGACCAAGAUUAUUUCCCCCCACACCCUAAAUAUAACCCUAACCUUUCACAAACCCUAACCUAAGUAACUACACCAGCCGACCCCUUCUUCUCUCCCACACCUUCUGCCUCCAUAACCCCGCUUAAACCUUACCCGAGUUCACUCGCUGGUCACUCAUGGUCUCUAUCUCCUCCUUCUCCUUCUUCCACGUAGCAAAAUCUCAACGAAUCUCAUCAUUUUAAUCCGGUUCACGCGAAUUUCUUCUUUUAUUUAAUUUGUUUAAACACAAAUCCAAGGCUCUUGAGUAAAUUUAGGAAAAAUGGGGACGUUGGAUGAAAGUCUCCAUUUUUCCCGAUUUUUAUUUGUAAAAAAAAAAGAGAUUUUCGGAUUUGGUUUUGGGGUCCACACAGUUUUUGGAUUUCUUGCAGAAAAGGAGAAGAAGCUUCUAGGGCUUUAUAUAUAUUAGGGGGUUAUUUGUACAGAAAGUGGUUUUUUUGGGAGAAAAAUUAGAGAAAGAGUUCUAGGGUUUUGAAGAGAAAUUUCGAAGGUUUUUUUUUUCUUUUUGCUUCUGUCUCUUCUACUUUCAUUUCAAAAAGCCAAAACAAAACUAAAAAAUAUAUACAUAAUAUUUCACUUAUUUCUUUUGGCUUCGAUUUUUAAUUUCAACUAUGGAGUUCGGUCGAGGUUUGCCGUGGAGUUUGAAGCUAUAGUUCGAGGUCAGCUCGUGGUUCUUGAUUUGCCUGUCACGGUUUCAUUAACUUCGUGUCGACUCUCAGAUCUCAAUAGCUGAUUUCCUUUUCAAGGUCGUUUCCAUGUUUUAUACUGCUUGUAUCACAUUCGAACAUCAAGUGAUAAUCGAAAUUACAAUCUCAGGUUCAUUUUCGGUUUCCUUUCUUAUUUUUGCUUUGAUGUGAUAUUAGUAGUGGAUAUAAAUACAUGUUUCGACACGUUAUGAUUCAGUUGCGUGCCUCUUUUUUCUGCUUGAACUGAGAUUUAUGUGAUGUUGAUGCGAUCACUUGCGCUUUGAUGGAUCUUAUAGUUGUUAAGAGAAUUGUGGAUCAGUGACAUACUUACCGUGGAUCUUAAUAGCAGUUUGUCAGUUUGAAGCGAAAUCGAAGUUGUAACAAAAGGAAUAUCCCGAUUUCUCUGUUCGUCCCUAGCUUAGCUGCUCGAAUCUCUCUUAACAUUUUAGCUCGAUUUGAAUCUAUACCUAUCAAGUCAGGUGCAAGUGAGGAAAGCAUGUGCUGAUUUCAAUGUCUUUGGCCAUUUCAUUUUUCCCUUGUAAGCAUGAAUAAGUGAUCAACCCUCGUGUUUUAAUGUCGAUCUUCCUGGAAAUACUAAGUCAGUUUCUCCUGUUUUGGUGAUUCUUCAUGUUUGAUUAUGCUUGAGUGAUUUGUUUUGCCCAGGCCUAAGCUUAUCUACUCUUUGGAACUUUCAUAAGUUUUGAAAACCAUGGAUUCUCAUGUUAGGCAUUUAAGAUUUUAGACUUGAAGCAUCUCUGGAAAUAUGAAUUUGGCUUUCAUGUUUUGGUAAUGCCACUCCCACGCCUUGUUCGUUCCCCUACCAUUUAUUUAACGUCUCUUGAACUUUUGUUGAAAACCAUUAUUGGAAGAUGGAAGUGUAGAGAACAGUGACAUUUAACUUGCCCAAUAUUUGUUCUAGUUAAUUUCUGAAUGUGUAUUACGUGAAUAACAUUUGAAAUCAGUUUGUUUAGUCUCAUGAAGGUUCUGGACGGGUUAGCAUUCUUGAAAUGACUACAAUUUGCAUUUCUUUAUCUCAUGGUGACUAUUAUUUUAGUUUUGUUUAGUUCACAUUUUCUAUGAAUGGUCAAUACUCUGUUAGAUGAUUUGUCUUGUUAAUUAGUGUUGUUUGACUGUGAAUUUGAUUGAAUUAUGGAUGUUUGGGUCGCGGGGGUAGGGAAUAUGAGCAUGCUUUAGAGUUUUCUGUUCUUUUAUUUUCUUAUUUCAUUACGUGUCCGUUAAGAGCAUGUUUUAAGUCGACAACAUUUGGGCAGGCAACCAUAGAAUUUUUUAUUAUUUUUUGUUUGCUUUUAAUUUCGAGGCAAGAGGUAGUUUCCUUAGUUGAAUUUAUCCGGGGAAUGGCCCGAGGGAUUUGUAUAUAUAUUAUUAUCCAGGGUAUGCCCCGAAGAACUAUGUAAAUAUCUGGAGGCCUCGACGAGCAUGGUAAAGAAGUCGUAGUAUAGGUUAGCUUAUGAUUUUUUCCCUUCUUUUCCUUUUCAUUUUCUUUCUCAGGUAGGGACGAACUCUAGCCUCUUGUGUGUUUAUUUUGUUUUGUGAUUUUACCUCAAUUGAAUAUUCUAAAAGCCAACUAAAUCGAGUAUGUAACCGUGACUUUCACGGGACUCGGGGAAUGCCUAAUUCCUUCUCCCCGAGUCAAAUGAACCCCUUACCCGAACCUAUGGUGCUGGCUUGGUUUCAGAGUCUGAAACAUUUAAAAGGAAAAAUCAUUUUAAAAACGAUGAUCUGACACACCGAAAUCAAUUGUCAGGUGGCGACUCUGAGUUAGUCCUUUUGAAACACAAUUUUGUCACUUCUUAUUAAAAACCUUUUUUCAAGCUUUACGAAAUCUUUUUAUUAUUUAACAGGAUUAAGUGAGGUUUGUUAAAAAAAAGGGGCGUGACAAUUAGUAUGACCAAGAACCCGGUCGAUCACUAGAAAACUAAGGACAUAGAUGUUAGACAUCAUUUAUUGAAGGAUAACUAUGAAAAUGGUUGAUAAACGUGAUAUUUUGUGCCAUUGACAUGUAAAUAACUGACAUUUCACAAUAGCCUUAUGCAUAGAUCAUUUUAAAAGGAACGGAUUAGAAAUCAAGGAUGAUUAAGAUCAUCUAAAAGGACUAGUUCAGAAUUCACAACCAAAACAAAAUUUGGUUAGAAAAUCUAAAAAUGUGUAUAUAAUUAGAUUAAUUUUUGCUCAGACUCGUGCUUUUAAUAGUAUACUCUUUUUCCAUGUGUUAAAAUGACUCAUUAAUUUCUAAUGAUAGUUUUCUAUUUUGACAGAUUUAGACUUACAAAAGAGAAUUAUUGGUGAAGAACCUGGUUCAACAAGAUAAUAUGCUAUGUUUUCUACACUCUGCAUAAUUUGGAAUAAUAAUAUUUGGAUCAUGAGUAGAGUCCUACCUAAGUCCAAAUUUCUUUUGAACUUAUCCAAUAUAAGUGAACUAGUUCCAUUCAAAAGAAUCCUAACCAAAUUAUACACUCUAGAUACUAGGGAAAACUCCAUCGUCUUUUUAAAAUUGACAAUUCAGUUUGAUUAGACUUCUAAAAUCUCAAAAUCCGGUCGUUACCCAUUAAUUACUCCCCUUUAAAUUGAUCAUCACAAGCUCUGUCUUUACUUCAUAAUUUUCAAGCCGUCAAAAUACUCUCCAUCGAUCAACCAUUUACACUUAUCGUUAAAUUAAAUGGCCUAGAGAGAGAAGCUCCUCCUUCUAUAUACCUUUCUUCCCCAACCCUACUGUUCAUCGCCUUUCCUCCAUUGCAACUGCUAAGGUGAGU
RNAcentral lists this long non-coding RNA (3522 nucleotides) under Nicotiana benthamiana. Its description in RNAcentral is "long non-coding RNA (NBEN_LNC039917)". The record is from RNAcentral. Lineage: Eukaryota; Viridiplantae; Streptophyta; Magnoliopsida; Solanales; Solanaceae.